This is a long non-coding RNA of Lolium rigidum, 1141 nucleotides long. RefSeq lists it as uncharacterized. The record is from RefSeq and is a predicted model, not a curated record. The transcript is spliced from 3 exons. Lineage: Eukaryota; Viridiplantae; Streptophyta; Magnoliopsida; Poales; Poaceae.
AGAUUGGGCUGGUCCUGCAUCGCCGGCACCAGGUCAACGCUGCCGCAACAUCGAGAGAUGCCGAGUCUAGCCGCUUGUUUAAUGGUCUCUCAGCAAGUUUCCAGUUCUGAGAUUAUGCUCAGGAAUUGACAGCAUCGUCAAGAUGAUCAAGGUAAACAUACACAGUAAACGUAGAUCAUGAGAAAGGAUAAACGACAAAAAAGAAAACAGAUCUGGUAGUUAACCAAGAUGUGUGAAACUAGUUUUUUUUCUUGAAGUUGAGCUUUAGUGUGUCAGUGGUGUGUGCUCAGGAUCAACCAUAAUGCUUUAAAAAGGAUCAGUAGUUGUUUAUUUCUCAAUUUACUCUGGUUACCCAGUUUGAUGAUUAACUUAUUAUUACCUCGAUCCUCCUUACUUGGUAAAGCAGUAAUCUCACAAGUUCAGGUGUAGAAAUAGUAAACUGAAAGGAUUCAUUGUGUACUCUUAAGGUACACACCGUUGGAACUAUUUCGAAACAUAUAUUUGUAACGGCUAAUUAGAAAGGAAGGUAAGCCCUUCUCCAUUACAUUCCAGAUUUUUGUAUUUGGAUGCCAUGCCAUCAUAACGAUAAUUGCACAUACCAUAGUAUAUGUUCUAUCUCAUGCUAUCGGACUGCUUCAUGGAGCAAACACAAAAGGUUGUGACGGUAUUCAAUGCUGUCUAAUAGUGUUUCUAGUUUUAAAAGCUUUCAUAUAUGUUCUUGUUUUCUACAGUCAUGUUAUAGGUGCCAUGUUCUUCCUACCCGUUGCUAUUGCAACUGAAAGGUAUGCGGAUUUUUGGUUUGUUAUUUGUCUGAAUUAUAUGGUAGGUAAAAGUACAAGACGGAGGUAAAAGUGAUGGUGUCUUGGUUGGCUGGCAUUUUGUGAUCCUAAUGGUGCACGUGCACUCAACCAGUUCCAUCAGAAUGUUGUAAACUUGCUAGCGUCUGUUGUAGAUACUCUUUAAAGAAGAAUGAACAAGAUUGAAGCUCUUAUAAAGGGAGAAGAAAGGACCAAAGAAGAUUGUUGACGUUAGCUUGGAGAUCUAGUCCUAUUUUACAAAUGUUUGAUAAACUUCCAUGGAUUUUGGCUUUUGUAAUAGGAAGUACAAUUUAAGUUCCGUAUGGAUAUUUGCUAGUGUGAAA